RNAcentral lists this ribosomal RNA (440 nucleotides) under uncultured bacterium. RNAcentral describes it as "partial 16S ribosomal RNA". It matches the Rfam family "Bacterial small subunit ribosomal RNA", at positions 338 to 795 of the family's 1533-position model. The record is from RNAcentral.
CCUACGGGGGGCAGCAGUGGGGAAUAUUGCACAAUGGGGGAAACCCUGAUGCAGCAACGCCGCGUGGGUGAAGAAGUAUUUCGGUAUGUAAAGCCCUAUCAGCAGGGAAGAGAAUGACGGUACCUGACUAAGAAGCCCCGGCUAACUACGUGCCAGCAGCCGCGGUAAUACGUAGGGGGCAAGCGUUAUCCGGAUUUACUGGGUGUAAAGGGAGCGUGGACGGUUGUGCAAGUCUGAAGUGAAAGCCCGGGGCUCAACUGCGGAACGGCUUUGGAAACUGGGUAACUGGAGUGCUGGAGAGGGAGGCGGAAUUCCUGGUGUAGCGGUGGAAUGCGUAGAGAUCAGGAGGAACACCGGCGGCGAAGGCGGCUUACUGGACAGUAACUGACGUUGAGGCGCGAAAGCGUGGGGAGCAAACAGGAUUAGAUACCCGGGUAGUC